This is a non-coding RNA of Aulographum hederae CBS 113979, 99 nucleotides long. The record is from the annotation of a GenBank genome assembly. Lineage: Eukaryota; Fungi; Ascomycota; Dothideomycetes; Aulographales; Aulographaceae.
GGGCGUGUAGCUCAGUGGAAGGGCUGAGGAUGGCGGUCGGUCGGCCAGCUGUGGCGGAUCUUUUUCCUCGUGUCUUUGGUUCGAUUCUCAUCAGGCCCG